GUCCAGGCCCUAAGGGGCGCAGCAACCGCGAAACCUCCACAAUGCACUCACGUGCGAUGGGGCUAUCUCGAGUGCCACCUGAUGAAGGUGGCUUUUCCUUGGUCUUCAAAGCCUUGGGAAUAAGAGGGGGGCAAGACUGGUGUCAGCCGCCGCGGUAACACCAGCCCCUCGAGUGGUGGGGAUGAUUAUUUGGCCUAAAGCGUCCGUAGCCGGCCGUGUAAGUCUCCCGUUAAAUCCAGCGUCUCAAGCGUUGGACUGCGGGAGAUACUGUACGGCUAGAGAGUGGGAGAGGUCAGCGGUAUUCUGGGGGUAGGGGCGAAAUCCUUUGAUCCCCGGAGGACCACCAGUGGCGAAGGCUGCUGACUAGAACACGUCUGACGGUCAGGGACGAAAGCUGGGGUAGCGAACCGGAUUAGAUACCCGGGUAGUCCCAGCCGUAAACGAUGCAUGCUAGGUGUUGGGUUGGCCACGCGCCACCCCAGUGCCGCAGGGAAGCCGUUAAGCAUGCCGCCUGGGAAGUACGAUCGCAAGAUUGAAACUUAA
RNAcentral lists this ribosomal RNA (543 nucleotides) under uncultured crenarchaeote. Its description in RNAcentral is "bacterial SSU rRNA". It matches the Rfam family "Archaeal small subunit ribosomal RNA", at positions 314 to 859 of the family's 1478-position model. Lineage: Archaea; Thermoproteati; Thermoproteota. The record is from RNAcentral.